GACACUGUCGCGCGCGCGAUUUUGCUCUGCGCGCGCGCGCAAACGCUGCCACGCGCGCGCAAACACCGUCUCACGCGCGAGAGGUGACAUGAAUUUCCUCACGCGCGCGAGCAGAAAUAUGAAUAUUUAAAUUAUCUCCUCCCACUGGUUAGCAUAACAAAUGAGGCGGAAGUUUGUUUAGUCCAUAGUAGUCAAACACAGAGAUCUCAGAUAUCAAUUGCUGAUAGACUAUCGUUGCUACGGUGACUGCAAACGACCACCUUUGAAACACAACUGAAACGCAACUCACGGCUGCGCUGACAAGGGCAUUCACCUCUUUAUUAGUAAACCCAUUUAAUUUUUUGGUGGAUGAAAACAUUGUGUCAAUAUGCUAUGUCUAUGUUCGCCUUAUUCACCCGGAACGUUCUAAAGACGUUGAGGGGUACACUUCAGGGGUACAUUCGGCAACGCACCAGCUGUCAUGCCGCCUCACUUUUGUGUGCCCAAAUGUUCGUCCUCAAAGAGAAAAAAAUCCUACCGUGGACAGACUUUCCACCGUUUCCCCAAAGAGCAGGCACUUCGCCGUGAAUGUAUAAAUCACAUCAAGAGGGAUCCUGGUCCAUAUUUCAAGGUAAGAUGCAAAAUUAUGUUCAAUCAUACGCAUUAGCUAGCACAAAUAAGCUAGCUCGCCAAACUUGUCAUGACUCAUGUAGCCUAAUGACGCGAAUGCCUCGGUGAAAUAAAAAAAUAUGAAUGUGUAAUUACACAACGCUACAUUUAUAUGAUAUUUCCAGAUCGCUAUUUUCAAGAUUAGGCUUUUAAUUGUGUGGUAAGCGAUCCGAUGGCCAUUGAUUUUGUGCUACCAGAACCAGUAGCAUAGGCCUACUUGAUUCCCUGAUUGUCGCUCCCAACGCAGGACGCUCCCCGGUCAGCUCGCUCCCACUAGCCAGACUAUCGAUCCCACCGCCAUAUAACGGAGCUAGUUAUCUUUUUGAUGUUAGUUUUUUGUUUCUAACCCUAAACCUAACCAUAACCCUAAACCUAACCCUAACCCUAAAUGGCUUGUAUGUGGCAGUGUAUGAUAAUACGUGAAAUAUAAUCGGGUGGGACUACACGUCCGGGAGUGAUAGAAACACCUGGGACUACACGUCCGGGAGCGAUCUCAGUUGGGAGUGUCCAUCUACCUCCCGGCCUACUUGUGCCAAAAUCAAGUUGUUUUGCUAACGAACUAAAAUGCAUACCCUGGUAUUUAUGGUUACAGAUCAACGCUGAGACCAAGGUUUGCUCUGAGCACUUUGAGAAGCAGUGUUUUGUAAAGACCUCCCGUGGUAUCACAAAGCUUAUAAGGAUGCCGUGCCACUUUGUUCGCCUGGACUUCAGAGAGGCCAAAGAGGAGAAUCAUCAUUCGCAGACCGAGAGAUGAUGACCCAUUCCUGAAGUUGGACGCCAGAAUGCAGGAAGGUGCUGUUUAAGAGCCUAGGCGGUGGAAGAAGCACUUGCAGGUAUGCUACCGACCAGGCUCCUCAACAUCAAUCCGAGACGGAAGAUGAACCGGGAUGAAGCAGUUAGAUUGAGACAAGGCGGCCGGAAACUUUGAUGACCUCAAUGACACUGGCUAGGUGAAGGACAUCAAGAAAAUGGCAUCCGGUCACCAGACAUCAGCUCAUAAGCCACAACGUCAUCAACCAUUUUGCGCCAAAAAUGAAGCCGUUCACAUACCAUGGCAUCCUAAGCAGGCAGCACCACACUACUGUGCAACAGUGAGAGAGAGCGGGCAAGGACAAGUAAAACGGACCUACACUACAGCAAGACUUUGACACUUCUCCGCGUGAGAGGCAGCCAUCGCCCCCACCGUUGAGCAGUGUGUACCCAGUACCCCCAAAAGAGGAGAUGAUCCGACGCCAUCACAGCCGAUUUCCAAAAUUGUACACCAAACUCUGUAUGGGCGUGUGUGUGUGUGUGUGUGUGUGAGAGAGAGAGAUAUUGUAAAACUUUUCAGUCCUUCUUCUAUACUAUACAGUGUAUAAAUAUACAUGUGAAAACCUAAAUAUGAAUUAAAAACCAUUACUGAGGUUAAGAAAUGCAUUAUAACAAAUACAUCUGAUUCAGGUGUACUGUACAUUGAAAUGUCUUUAUUUGCCACAAAUACAUCACAUCCUGGAAACCUGUACAAUGUGUGGAUUCAAAGGUCUGACAGAUCUUUGUGACGGCACAGGAUUGCAGUGGAACCCAAACAUAGCCUAGGAACUCCCACAUAGCGUAGGAACUCCCACGCCAUCUCACCAACUGCCGAUAUGCAGUAUGCCUGAAUUUCCUGUACAGCAAAGAAAUGUAGAGAUUGUGCCUUCAUCGAGAAUAGGUCAUUUGGAAUCACAACAAUUAUUCAAUUUACUUUGUGCGUGUGGUGUAGCUAUUGCUGUUAUUAUUAUGUUACUACUAGUGACCCAUUUUUAGUUGAGCUUAAUAGUCUACAUGCCAUCUCUGCACUUGUGUUACCACUAUUGGGAUUGGCAGCUCCCUAAAUGAAAAUGAGAAAAACUUGCCCGGAUGAAAUGUUAUGAACUGUGUGCGUUGUGCUGCUUGCUGAAGUAACAUGACACCCACAUCACCUUCCAGAAAUAAAGUGUAUACAGGCUACCUAACCAGAGUCCUAGAGACCUGUUGCUGCUGUGUGAUGAAAUCCAGGCAAAGACCCACCUGCUUUGGCAAUUGCUGCAACAUGUAAAAAAGGUAGACAGAUUAGGCCCCUGUAGAUAUGGCAUGUGUAGAUGGAUUCACUUAAUUCUUUAACCACUUGAAUGGCUUGGGUCAGACAAGCUGGGCUGCACACUGACCUCUUCCAUGUUGCCCAUGUGGUUUCGUUGGCUGUGUGUGACCACCUCCGUACAGGGGCAGAUUUAUUUAUUUAUUUAUUAUUAUUAUUAUUUAUUUAUUUAUUAAAAUGUCUGCACCUUUUUAUUAAAUGUAUUGCAUUGCACUGGUAUCACAUUGCAUUAAAUGUACUAGCCAAGUGACACAAACAGAGCAGGUAAAUACAGUCUUGAUCUGUACCAUAUAUGUCACUUCUUAAAGAUUCAAUUAUUCAACUCUAUAUUCGAAGAGGCCGGUAUUGCGCUACCAUUUUCCAUGAACCAGUCAACUUCUGGGAGUCAUUGCAGUACUUUGAGAAAGUGAUCUUACUUUCUAGCCUAAUAUUGUGCUUGU
Long non-coding RNA from Engraulis encrasicolus (European anchovy), 3183 nucleotides. RefSeq lists it as uncharacterized. The transcript is spliced from 5 exons. The record is from RefSeq and is a predicted model, not a curated record. NCBI's taxonomy places the organism in Eukaryota, Metazoa, Chordata, Actinopteri, Clupeiformes, Engraulidae.